This 229-nucleotide ribosomal RNA is filed under the name uncultured bacterium. Its description in RNAcentral is "partial 16S ribosomal RNA". It matches the Rfam family "Bacterial small subunit ribosomal RNA", at positions 568 to 796 of the family's 1533-position model. The record is from RNAcentral.
UGCGUAGGCGGGGGAUUAAGUCAGUGGUGAAAUCCUACAGCUUAACUGUAGAACUGCCAUUGAUACUGGUGUUCUUGAGUAUAGUUGAAGUGGGCGGAAUGUGUAUUGUAGCGGUGAAAUGCAUAGAGAUUACAUAGAACACCAAUUGCGAAGGCAGCUCACUAAGCUAUCACUGACGCUGAGGCACGAAAGCGUGGGGAGCGAACAGGAUUAGAUACCCUGGUAGUCC